UACGGAGGUGGCAAGCGUUGUUCGGAAUUACUGGGCGUAAAGGGCGCGUAGGCGGCAAGGCAAGUCAGGUGUGAAAGCCCCGAGCUUAACUCGGGAAUUGCAUCUGAAACUGCUGUGCUUGAGUUCUGGAGGGGGUAGUGGAAUUCCCAGUGUAGCGGUGAAAUGCGUAGAUAUCAGGAGGAACACCGGUGGCGAAGGCGGGUCUCUGGGCCGAUACUGACGCUGAGACGCGAAAGCGUGGGGAGCGAACAGG
Molecule: ribosomal RNA, 253 nt
Filed under: uncultured bacterium
Lineage: Bacteria
Description: partial 16S ribosomal RNA
Rfam family: Bacterial small subunit ribosomal RNA
Source: RNAcentral